This 513-nucleotide ribosomal RNA is filed under the name uncultured Lachnospiraceae bacterium. RNAcentral's name for it is "bacterial SSU rRNA". It matches the Rfam family "Bacterial small subunit ribosomal RNA", at positions 27 to 507 of the family's 1533-position model. The record is from RNAcentral. Lineage: Bacteria; Bacillati; Bacillota; Clostridia; Lachnospirales; Lachnospiraceae.
CGGUACGUCACGGAGUGAACGGACCGUGGCGGCGGUAGCGUUAACACAUGCAAGUCGAACGGGGAGUAAGACAUCGGAACGAGCUGCUUGCACCGAAUGGAAGAAGUCAUAUUCUAGUGGCGGACGGGUGGAGUAACGCGUGGGCGAACCUGCCUUAUACAGGGGAUAACAGCUGGAAACAGCUGCUAAUACCGCAUAAGCGCACAGCGGCGCAUGACGCAGUGUGAAAAACUGAGGUGGUAUAAGAUGGGCCCGCGUCUGAUUAGCUGGUUGGGAGGGUAACGGGCCUACCAAGGCGACGAUCAGUAGCCGGCCUGAGAGGGCGGACGGCCACAUUGGGACUGAGACACGGCCCAGACUCCUACGGGAGGCAGCAGUGGGGAAUAUUGCACAAUGGGGGGAACCCUGAUGCAGCGACGCCGCGUGAGUGAAGAGUAUUUCGGUACGUAAAGCUCUAUCAGCAGGGAAGAAAAAAGGACGGUACCUGAGUAAGAAGCCCCGGCUAACUACGUG